Molecule: ribosomal RNA, 603 nt
Filed under: uncultured bacterium
Lineage: Bacteria
Description: bacterial SSU rRNA
Rfam family: Bacterial small subunit ribosomal RNA
Source: RNAcentral
UAACCAUGCAAGUCGAACGCUCACCUUCGGGUGGGAGUGGCAGACGGGUGAGUAACACGUGGGAACGUACCCUUUGGUUCGGGACAACUCUGGGAAACUGGAGCUAAUACCGGAUACGCCCUUUUGGGGAAAGGUUUACUGCCGAAGGAUCGGCCCGCGUCUGAUUAGCUAGUUGGUGGGGUAACGGCCUACCAAGGCGACGAUCAGUAGCUGGUCUGAGAGGAUGAUCAGCCACACUGGGACUGAGACACGGCCCAGACUCCUACGGGAGGCAGCAGUGGGGAAUAUUGGACAAUGGGCGCAAGCCUGAUCCAGCCAUGCCGCGUGAGUGAUGAAGGCCUUAGGGUUGUAAAGCUCUUUUAUCCGGGACGAUAAUGACGGUACCGGAGGAAUAAGCCCCGGCUAACUUCGUGCCAGCAGCCGCGGUAAUACGAAGGGGGCUAGCGUUGCUCGGAAUCACUGGGCGUAAAGGGCGCGUAGGCGGCGUUUUAAGUCGGGGGUGAAAGCCUGUGGCUCAACCACAGAAUGGCCUUCGAUACUGGGACGCUUGAGUCUGGUAGAGGUUGGUGGAACUGCGAGUGUAGAGGUGAAAUUCGUAGAUAU